This 447-nucleotide ribosomal RNA is filed under the name uncultured bacterium. RNAcentral's name for it is "SSU rRNA". It matches the Rfam family "Bacterial small subunit ribosomal RNA", at positions 26 to 518 of the family's 1533-position model. The record is from RNAcentral.
AGAGCGAACGCUGGCGGCAGGCCUAAUACAUGCAAGUCGAACGGAUCCUUCGGGAUUAGUGGCGGACGGGUGAGUAACACGUGGGAACGUGCCCUUUGGUUCGGAACAACUCAGGGAAACUUGAGCUAAUACCGGAUGUGCCCUUCGGGGGAAAGAUUUAUCGCCAUUGGAGCGGCCCGCGUCUGAUUAGCUAGUUGGUGGGGUAAAGGCCUACCAAGGCUACGAUCAGUAGCUGGUCUGAGAGGAUGAUCAGCCACACUGGGACUGAGACACGGCCCAGACUCCUACGGGAGGCAGCAGUAGGGAAUCUUGCGCAAUGGGCGAAAGCCUGACGCAGCCAUGCCGCGUGAAUGAUGAAGGUCUUAGGAUUGUAAAAUUCUUUCAGUGGGGACGAUAAUGACGGUACCCACAGAAGAACGCCCCGGCUAACUUCGCGCCAGCAGCCGC